UACGAAGGGUGCAAACGUUGCUCGGAAUCAUUGGGCGUAAAGCGCACGUAGGCGGCUUUGCAAGUCUGACGUGAAAUCCCUCAGCUCAACUGAGGAAGUGCAUCGGAAACUGCAAGGCUUGAGUACUGAAGAGGAUCGCGGAAUUCCCGGUGUAGAGGUGAAAUUCGUAGAUAUCGGGAGGAACACCAGUGGCGAAGGCGGCGAUCUGGGCAGAUACUGACGCUGAGGUGCGAAAGCGUGGGGAGCAAACAGG
This 253-nucleotide ribosomal RNA is filed under the name uncultured bacterium. Its description in RNAcentral is "partial 16S ribosomal RNA". It matches the Rfam family "Bacterial small subunit ribosomal RNA", at positions 524 to 776 of the family's 1533-position model. The record is from RNAcentral. RNAcentral also lists the same sequence under 1 other name.